RNAcentral lists this small nucleolar RNA (78 nucleotides) under Trialeurodes vaporariorum (greenhouse whitefly). Its description in RNAcentral is "small nucleolar RNA SNORD34". It matches the Rfam family "Small nucleolar RNA SNORD34". Rfam says of the family: snoRNA U34 is found in intron 5 of the ribosomal protein L13a gene in humans. U34 is a member of the C/D class of snoRNA which contain C (UGAUGA) and D (CUGA) box motifs, and functions in directing site-specific 2'-O-methylation of 25S rRNAs. Although the selection of the target nucleotide requires the antisense element and the conserved box D or D' of the snoRNA, the methyltransferase activity is thought to reside in one of the protein components. Lineage: Eukaryota; Metazoa; Arthropoda; Insecta; Hemiptera; Aleyrodidae. The record is from RNAcentral.
UUAGUUUAUGAUGAGUUUCAAUUCCUUACCUACAUUGUUUGAAGCUAAUGAAAAAAACAAUGUUUCUCUGAAACUAAA